AAUAGAUACCCCGGUAGUCCUAGCUGUAAACGAUGGGCACUGGGUUGAGGGGACUUCCACAUCCUCUCGGCCGUAGCGAAAGCGUUAAGUGCUCCGCCUGGGGAGUAUGGCCGCAAGGCUGAAACUCAAAGGAAUUGACGGGGGCUCACACAAGCGGUGGAGGAUGUGGCUUAAUUCGAGGCUACGCGAAGAACCUUAUCCUAGAUUUGACAUGGUUGAGAAUCUCCUUGAAAGAGGAGAGUGCCCUUCGGGGAGCUCUUUCACAGGUGCUGCAUGGCUGUCGUCAGCUCGUGUCGUGAGAUGUUGGGUUAAGUCCCUUAACGAGCGAAACCCUUAUCUUUAGUUGCCAGCGGGUCAAGCCGGGGACUCUAAAGAGACUGCCGGUGUCAAACCGGAGGAAGGUGGGGAUGACGUCAAGUCCUCAUGGCCUUUAUGUCUAGGGCUGCACACGUCCUACAAUGGCACGUACAAAGGGAAGCCAAGCCGCGAGGCCGCGCUAAUCCCAAAAAGCGUGCCCCAGUUCGGAUUGCAGG
This 533-nucleotide ribosomal RNA is filed under the name uncultured bacterium. RNAcentral's name for it is "bacterial SSU rRNA". It matches the Rfam family "Bacterial small subunit ribosomal RNA", at positions 777 to 1304 of the family's 1533-position model. The record is from RNAcentral.